GGGUCAAGAGUGCUGCCUUUAAGUGGUGCGUCGAGUUUUCUCGCUUGGCCCU
This is a non-coding RNA of Treponema denticola SP33, 52 nucleotides long. Lineage: Bacteria; Pseudomonadati; Spirochaetota; Spirochaetia; Treponematales; Treponemataceae. The record is from Rfam.